AUAAUGAUACUUCUGUCCAGCCACAGCCCCUGCACUGCGGGGAUUACGCAAUGGGGGCAGCCCGGUGAGACCCACGGGGAGGUUAGAUUCCUAUGG
This 96-nucleotide non-coding RNA is filed under the name unclassified sequences. The record is from Rfam.